UCUUUGCAGAUGUGGGCCAUCCUGAUUACAGUGGUGGUAGUCCUUCUCAUCAUUAUCAUUCUUUGGAGUGUGUAUGGGUGACCAGCAGAAGAUUAAAAUCCUUGUUCAACCUCUAAAAUUCUUCCAUUUGACCUGCUCUGUUGCCAAGCUUUUCGUUAAGGGUGCACAAAUCAAUUUAUUCGGGACUGCUGUGUUUGAUAACUCUUUAUAGUUUGAGUGACGGACAGCUCAGAAGUAUGCAAGCUGCAGGAGAAAAAACUUCACGCCUCCAUCUCGGUCACGUGCUAAAAUGGUCAUUUCUUUGACAAAUUCAUAUUAUUCCUGUCCCGGUUAGACUGUAAGGAACCGAGAAUCAGUUCAUACUUCUGUUUUCCUUAAAUUAAUCAAUUU
Molecule: non-coding RNA, 390 nt
Organism: Notechis scutatus (mainland tiger snake)
Lineage: Eukaryota; Metazoa; Chordata; Lepidosauria; Squamata; Elapidae
Source: RefSeq, a predicted model, not a curated record